GCAAGUCGAGCGGAAACGAGAAGUAGCUUGCUACUUCGGCGUCGAGCGGCGGACGGGUGAGUAAUGCUUAGGAAUUUGCCCAGUCGAGGGGGAUAACUAUUGGAAACGAUAGCUAAUACCGCAUACGCCCUACGGGUGAAAUGAGGGGACCUUCGGGCCUUCUGCGAUUGGAUAGGCCUAAGUGGGAUUAGCUAGUUGGUGAGGUAAUGGCUCACCAAGGCGACGAUCUCUAGCUGGUCUGAGAGGAUGAUC
This 252-nucleotide ribosomal RNA is filed under the name uncultured bacterium. RNAcentral describes it as "partial 16S ribosomal RNA". It matches the Rfam family "Bacterial small subunit ribosomal RNA", at positions 57 to 305 of the family's 1533-position model. The record is from RNAcentral.